UCUAGACAUUUCGCCGCGCAGGGGGCACCCUGCCGCUUGCCGGUCCCGCGGCUCUGGUAGACCUCCCGCAGGCGUGCCUGCGGAUGCUCCACCAGAGCCGCGGGACCAGCGGACCCUCCACAGGCACGCCUGCGGGAGGUCCACCGGAGUCGCCUGCCGCCGAUAGCCCCAGGCCCCUGGAAUCCUCUGGGCGGCCCUGCCCUCCCCCACAAGACCUGCCACCCUUUUCACUCCACUUUCCCCCUCCCUCCAUCGCUCACUGCUUUUCCCCUCUCCCCUACUUCCUGUCUCAGUUGGGAAGGACUUGCCAGCAGAGCCGGGGCUGGGACCUGCAGCUGCCCAAUGCAGAUAGAAGGUGGCCAAAGCUGAGUAGUUGUUGGCGCAGUUGAUGACUUGGCGCUUCCCCGCCUCCCCCCACUGCAGUAACCAGACUUUGGGUGUCCAGUCAAUAGAUCAGACCAGACACCAUCAGACUGUCUUUUAGACCGUUCGAAAACCAGACACACCUGGCCAACCGACUGGCACUCAACUGGCCAAUUCUGGAAAUCUGUCUUUGCUGGUAGGCAGUCGAUCUGUCAGAUGAAGCCUUUUGAAGUCUUGAAAAAAAUGACUGCCAGCCUCCAUGAUUAAAAACAGAUUGUCCUCAUCCUGAGUCCCAGGCCUCUUGUACUGUGAGUACUACAGAAGCACAGCAAAGACAUGGAAGAAAUCUAAGGGCCUGAUUCUCCUUUCACUUACACAGGAAAACCCAGGGGAAAGGACCAGAGAGGAGGAACCAUCUGCAAAUAUUCUUCAGGGGAGACGGAACGUGACCUUCAAGGAGCUAUCCUUUAUCCACCACCUCAGAAACAUUUGGGGAUGAUGGGGAGCAUAUCCAGGGCCAUAGAAAUUUCUCCACUCCUACUGGUCUUUUGUGCUGUCCUGAGACCCCCCUGAACCUGCUGGGCAGCCCCCCCUCAAGUAAGGAAAGACUUUCUUAGGCAAAGCAGUGAUAUUGCUGAAAAUCCAUUUUUUUCUUUUUUUAAAUAAAAUCCAAUGAAGAUGUUUCAUGCUACUGCCUAAAAGGUUUGUGCAGUUCUCAAAGCUGGGGAUUUUUUGCUCCUGUAAAUGCUGUGCUUGUGGAAAGUGCCAAAUUCACAAACUAAAGACUGUUGCCUCUGGUAAACCACAGAACAAGUAAUAUACAAUACAGGUAGAGACCAGCAGUGAAACCUUCUCAUGCUCCUGCACCAAUGUGCCUCAGCCCCAAGCUGGAGGAACUACUUUUAAUGCUGCAGGGGUAGUUCAGUCUCCAUUCAGUCCUUGGCUCUCCAGGCAAAUGUGCCAAUUAACGUUAAUUAUUGUGUUGAUUUCUGUGAUUUGGGCAUCAUAGGCCAAAUUCAUAGCUGAUGUACCCCAAUCAAGUCAGUGGAUGAAUAUGGCCCCAUGUCUUUUAGGAACUGGACUGACACCAACAGUUUAUUUAACUUACUCCAUCAAAUAGCCAUUAAGUUGUUUCAACCUCUACUGAUGUGGUCUGAAUUCAGAACAAUAGCCUCGUGAUGAAAGGCUCAGCAUCCAAUUAUCAAUACUCUUUGCUGUAUAAUCUAAAUAAAAAUACUUAUGCUGGCCACUUUUCUCAAGUUACACUCACUACAAAGUGCAUGUGUGCAUGCAUGCUUGUAAUGUAAAGAGCAAAACAAGCAGAGAAGUUGCUCGGAUUUAAUGUAGCCAAUACAUGUUUCAGAUCAGAAGUCUCAUUAAAAGUGAGCAUUCAAGGCCCCAGAUUUCUCUGUUGCAAUUUUUCCUUCCUAAAGCAGUCCUCAGCCUACUCUUAUUGAGCACUGUUUGAAGUGUCACAUCAAUGAUUAUCUCAAGAGAGUCCAUCUCUGGUGUGGCUGGCAUGCUUUCUGCCCCACCCCUUGCCUAGCUCAUGAUGUAGCUGCUUUUGUAGGAUAACAUUAUGUGAGGCAGCGCUUAGGAGGGGAAAGGACAACAUACAACUUCUGCAGACUCCAUGCCCUGGGAUUGGGGUGGUGAGGGAGAACAGUUAUAUGCAAGUAUUAUGUCAAGCUUUGCACCAGUGACAAAACAAUAACGUCUGCCCAUCUUUCAAUCUACCCAAAGAGCAGCCCAAUGAAAAUCCCAGGGUAAACUACAGAUGAUUCCACUGAACAGCAUCUCAGUAACUUUCUAGAAGUAAAUUUCUCUGGAUAGUAUAUUAAAGUAGUUUUAACUGAGAAGCCAGCCCACACCAAGAGCUUUAUUUUUGAUGUAGAAACCUGUGUUUAUUGCCAAGCGAAAGGAGAGCAGCCACAGUUCCCCCUUUUAAUUAAACUAAACAUUGUAAAAUAUGAAAAUGGCAUAAAAAUAAGGCUAAAAGUUUUAUUCUCAAAGAAUCUUCUAUUGUGUGUACUUCCAAGAAGAGUUAACAGAUUUCUUUUAUAGACAGCCAAUUUGGGUAUUACCAAGCAGGACUUUAGCUUCAAAGAAGUUUGGAGGUGGUAAGUUGGUAAAUGCAUGUUUAUGUGUGGUUUUCUAUAGAAGUAUGUGGAUGAGAAAUUUCUCCACAACCACUUCCUAAAAGGAAUCUUCCAAAUACAUUUAAUCUGAGGCUGUUGAUUAUUCACAAUUAAUUCACAAGAUCAACUACCAAAAAAAUUGCAAUUUAAAAAAUAAAUCACAAUUAAUCGCAGUUCUAAUUGCAAUAUUAAACAAUAGAAUACCAAUACUCUCAACUCAGAUGCACUGGCCAGGUAAACAGGAAAAGCCCCGUGAACUUUUGAAUUUCAUUUCCUGUUUGGCCAGCAUGGUGAGCUGAUCAGCACAGGUGACCAUGGAGUCCCAGAAUAACAAAAGAGCUCCAGCAUGGACCAAACGGGAGGUACUGGAUCUGAUCGCUGUAUGGGGAGACGAAUCUGUGCUAUCAGAACUCCGUUCCAAAAGACAAAAUGCCGGAAUAUUUGAAAAAAUCUCCAAGGGCAUGAAGGACAGAAGCUAUAACAGGGACCCGCAGCAGUGCCACGUGAAACUUAAGGAGCUCAGGCAAACCUACAAAGAACCAGAGAGUCAAAUGGCCGCUCCAGGUCAGAGCCCCAGAAUGCCACUUCUAUGAUGAGCUGCAUGCCAUUCUAGGGGGUGCCCCUACAACUAUCCCACCCCUGUGCAUGGACUCUGUCAAUGGAUUCUCAUGCAAUAGGGAAUGCAGAUUUUGGGGAUGAGGAGGAUAAGGAGGAGGUUGAAGAUAGUGCACAGCAAGCAAGUGGAGAAACCGUUUUCUCCGACAGCCAGGAACUGUUUUUCACCCUGGAUCUAGUACCCUCCCAACCCACCCAAGGUGGGCUCCCAGACCUUGAAGGUGGAGAAGGGACCUCUGCUGCAAAUGUUUCAGCAAUCCCCGUAUCAUCUCCAUCCCAGAGGCUAGCAAAAAUUAGAAGGCAAAAAAACCGCACUCGCGACAAAAUGUUCUCUGAGCUCAUGCAGUCCUCCCACACUGAAAGAGCCCAGCAGAAUGCCUGGAGGCAGACACUGUCAGAGUGCAGGAAAGCACAAAAUGAACAUGAGGACAGGUGGAGGGAGCAAGAGGAGAGAUGGUGGGAUCAAGAUGAUUGGUGGCAUCAGCAUGAUGAGAGGAGGCAAGAAGCAAUGCUUAGGCUACUGGAGGAUCAAACUGAUAUUCUCCAGCGUAUUGUUGAGGUGCUGGAAAGGCAGCAGGAGCACAGACCACCACUGUAGCCCCUGUGUAACCAACCGCUCUCCUCCCCAAGUUCCAUAGCCUCCUCACCCAGAUGCCCAAGAACGCGGUAGGGGGGCCUCCAGCCACCCAACCACUCCACCCCAGAGGACUGCCCAAGCAACAGAAAGCUGGCGUUCAAUAAGUUUUUCAGUGUAGUGUGGCCUUGUCCUUCCCUCCUCCCCUCCUCCACCACCCUACCCGGUGCUUCCCUCCUCCUGCACCCUCCCGGGGUACCUUGGCAGUUAUCCCC
Molecule: RNA transcript, 3965 nt
Organism: Gopherus flavomarginatus (Mexican gopher tortoise)
Lineage: Eukaryota; Metazoa; Chordata; Testudines; Testudinidae
Gene name: golgin subfamily A member 6-like protein 2
Exons: 5
Source: RefSeq, a predicted model, not a curated record